AACGAACGCUGGCGGCAGGCCUAACACAUGCAAGUCGAGCGAGGACUUCGGUUCUAGCGGCGGACGGGUGAGUAACGCGUGGGAAUGUGCCCUUCUCUACGGAAUAGCCCUGGGAAACUGGGAGUAAUACCGUAUACGCCCUAUUGGGGAAAGAUUUAUCGGAGAAGGAUCAGCCCGCGUUGGAUUAGGUAGUUGGUGGGGUAAUGGCCUACCAAGCCGACAAUCCAUAGCUGGUUUGAGAGGAUGAUCAGCCACACUGGGACUGAGACACGGCCCAGACUCCUACGGGAGGCAGCAGUGGGGAAUCUUAGACAAUGGGGGCAACCCUGAUCUAGCCACGCCGCGUGAGUGAUGAAGGCCUUAGGGUUGUAAAGCUCUUUCAGCUGGGAAGAUAAUGACGGUACCAGCAGAAGAAGCCCCGGCUAACUCCGUG
This 433-nucleotide ribosomal RNA is filed under the name uncultured bacterium. RNAcentral's name for it is "partial 16S ribosomal RNA". It matches the Rfam family "Bacterial small subunit ribosomal RNA", at positions 29 to 507 of the family's 1533-position model. The record is from RNAcentral.